RNAcentral lists this non-coding RNA (29 nucleotides) under Homo sapiens (human). Lineage: Eukaryota; Metazoa; Chordata; Mammalia; Primates; Hominidae. The record is from RNAcentral.
UACAAAGCUCAGGUAACAGAGUGGGUGGC